This 442-nucleotide ribosomal RNA is filed under the name uncultured bacterium. Its description in RNAcentral is "partial 16S ribosomal RNA". It matches the Rfam family "Bacterial small subunit ribosomal RNA", at positions 339 to 795 of the family's 1533-position model. The record is from RNAcentral.
CUACGGGUUGCUCCAGUGGGGAAUAUUGCGCAAUGGGGGAAACCCUGACGCAGCAACGCCGCGUGAAGGAUGAAGGCCUUCGGGUUGUAAACUUCUUUGAUCAGGGAAGAAAAAAAUGACGGUACCUGAAGAACAAGCCACGGCUAACUACGUGCCAGCAGCCGCGGUAAUACGUAGGUGGCAAGCGUUGUCCGGAUUUACUGGGUGUAAAGGGCGUGUAGGCGGGUCUGCAAGUCAGAUGUGAAAUCCCUGGGCUUAACCCAGGAACUGCAUCUGAAACUAUGGAUCUUGAGGGUCGGAGAGGAAAGUGGAAUUCCUAGUGUAGCGGCGAAAUGCGUAGAGAUUAGGAGGAACACCAGUGGCGAAGGCGACUUUCUGGACGAUAACUGACGCUGAGGCGCGAAAGCGUGGGUAGCAAACAGGAUUAGAUACCCGCGUAGUC